Molecule: ribosomal RNA, 3341 nt
Filed under: Candida saraburiensis
Lineage: Eukaryota; Fungi; Ascomycota; Pichiomycetes; Serinales; Debaryomycetaceae
Description: large subunit ribosomal RNA
Rfam family: Bacterial large subunit ribosomal RNA (bases 159-2817)
Source: RNAcentral
UAUUAUUUAUACUUUUCUCUUAUAAUCUUCUCAUUUAUUUAUUAGAUUUAUUUAUCUAAAAUAAACUAUUUAUUAGGUAGUGGUAAUUGAAAUUUUUCUUUUAUUAUUAAUAUUUAAGUAUAAUUAUCAAUUAUUAUAAUUAAUAUCUAGACAAUGAAAUUAGGUGAAGACCAAUCUAUAUUAGAAAUAAUAAUGAAUAUUUAAAUAUCUGAAUUGAAACAUCUUAGUAAGAUAUAUAAAAACCAAUAGGGAAUAUUUUAGUAUUGGUGAAAGAAAGAAUAAUUAGUUUAUUAAGUAAUAUUUUAUAAUAUGAAUAAAGUAGUACUACUACUAAAACUAAAAAUUAAUUAUAAAUAAUAAGUACCGUGAGGGAAUGAUAAUAAAGAUAUCAUUAAUUAUUAAAUAAAUAAAAUUUAUAAUAAUAAUUAUUUGUAUAUUCUUAAUAAAUACUUAAAUAAAGAGCAACUAUAGAAUAUAGUGUACCUCUUGUAUAAUGGGUCAGUGAGUUACUUUUAUUAGCGAAAUAUUAAAAUUAAAUAUAAAUAGAAAUUAAAGUUAAUGGAAGUAGACCCGAAAGUAUAUGAUUUAUACAUAAUCAAGAUAUAUUUUAUGAAAGAUUAUAUUAUUAGUUGAACUUAUUAUUAAUAAUAAGGUAUAUUAUAAUAAAAAUUAUAAAAAUUAUAAAAUUUAUAAUAUAAUAAAGAAUAUUUUAUCAAUUAUCCUUGUUAUAAGGAUAGAUAGUUUUAUAAAUAAAUAGAAUUAUUUUAAUGAUAUUAAUUGAGUAAUCUAAUAUAGUCUGAACAGGUGGGUGUUGCAAUACCUUCUGAAGAAUUAUGUAUCGAUGUGAAAGGCUACUCUCAUAUACAGAUAGCUGGUUAUCUGUGAAAUAUAUAUUAGUAUAGCGAUCAAUAAAUACAUCACCAGGUAAAUCACUUAAUUUAUAAUGGGAAUUUUGACGAAUUUAUCAUAUGAAUUAAACAUCUGAACUGGAUGAAUAAUGCGCCCUGGCAUAAUUUCAUUGAAAUUAUCCAGGGCGUUAUUUGUAUAAUUGAUCAGUCAAUUUAUGUGCGAUAAGGUACUUAAAUUAAUAGGGAAUAACCUAGAUUAUUAAAUGUAAGUCCUUAAUAAUAAUUAAGUGGUAUGAAUCUUGAUGAAAAAAUAUAUAAUAAUAUAAUUAUAUAUUAAUAAGAUAGUUAAUUGGUAGAUAUGAUAGUAAUCAUCUUCUAAAGAAAGUGUAACAACUCAUUAACUGAAUUAAGAAUCUAAGAUAAGAUAUACAGGCCUAAAUUAUUAACUGAAUUAUAAAAUGUAUGCUUAAUCAUAUAAAGCUAAUAUUAUUUAUAAGGAAAAAUAUAUUCAUAUAUGAUACCUAGUAUUCUUUAUUAGGUGAAAUAUAUAUAUUAAAUAUGAAUAAUAUAAAAAAAUAUGAUAUAAUAAUGAUACAUUGGUAACAGAUUAUACUAUAAAAAUAAUAGUACAAAAUAUGCUGACUUGAGUAACGCAAGAAGAGAUAAGCUCUUCCUCCAUAUGUAUAAGGUUUUUAAUAUAAAUUAACGGUCUCUAAUUAAUAAUAUGAAAAUAUAAAUUAAGAUGAGUGAAAGAAUACAAGAAAAAGAGAUAACCGUACUGGAAACCGACACUGGUAUACGGGGAAAUGAGGUCGAUACGCCUUAGCGUAGCUUUGCUUUCGCUAAGGCGGUUGAUUGUUCUUUAACUAUACAAAUCCUUUUGUUACUACAUUUCCCUUGGAGUAUGAGAUAAUCCAUAUGAAUGAACUCGGCAAUAAGAAUUUAACUUCUUUAAUAUAGUGCGACUGUUUACCAAAAACAUAGCUUAUUGCAGAUCUGAAAAGACUAGUAUAAUAAGUGAUACCUGCCCGGUGUUUAAACCAUAAUAAAUAAAUUUUAUAUAAACGGCGGUCUUAUCAUGAGGAUCCGAAGGUAGCGAAAUUCCUAGACGCUUAAUUGGCGUCCCGCAUGAAUGAUUAUACGAUGCUAUAAAUGUAUCCAUAUGGCUCUCAGUGAAAUAGUAAUUGCAGUGAAGAUACUGUAUAGCAAUAGAUUGACGAGAAGACCCUAUACAGCUUUACUAUAAAAUUAUUUUGAUAUUAGAUUAAUUAUUUAAUAAUUCUUUAUUUAUAUAUAUAUUGUUUUAUAAAAUAAUAUAAUCGAUCUAUAACUAUUACUAAUUUAAAUAAAAUAUAAAAUAUAUAUGAGAUAGUUAUUAAAAUAUCUAAUUUAUGAAAAAGAAAUAGGUAAUAUAAGUUUCUUUUAUAAGACAGAAUAAUUCUGUUAGUUUCGAUGGGGCGUCGACAUCACAAAAGAUAACUGAUGUGUCAAAUUGAUAAUAAUUAUAUAAAUAUACUUAAUAAAAGAUAUAAUAGUAUAAAGAGAUACAGUAAGAUUAAAUGGUAAUUAAUGGAGGAUAGUUGUGGGAUAAAUGGUAACGCCAUAGCUGCAUUGCAGCUAUGGCGCAUUUCUACAUAUCCAAUAUUCAGGAUAAUACCUUAACUGUGUUUUAAUUUAAUAAUUUACAUAUUAUUAAAGUACGUAAGUAUUGUAUAUUGAACAGGCACUAACUUAAGCAAAGUAUGUCGAUAACGAAUCAAAGUUACGUUAGGGAUAACAGGGUAAUACCGCUAGAGAGUUGAUAUCGUCAGCGGUGUUUGCCACCUCGAUGUCGUCUAGGCUCAACCUUAUGGUCGUAGUAACUAUAAAGGGUAUGACUGUUCGUCAUUUAAGGAGCUACUUGAGAUGGGUUAAUUACGGCGUGAGCCAGUAAUGUUUCUAUCAUCUAUUGCAGAAUAACAUUUAUUAUAUUAUAUGUGUACGAGAGGAUAAUAUAAUCUAAUUCCAUGAUGAUAACAAGGAUUAUUGAUAUAUACCUAAUGUAUAAUCAUAGGUAAGUUAAGAUAAAUAAUAAUUAAUAAUAGUUAUGAUUUUAUCUUAUUUCCUUACUAAUCAAGUUAUAAGUUAAAAUUAGUAGAAAUAAAUAUUGAUUGACUAUCAAAUAUGAAGUCUAUAAUAAUAUGUUAUAUAAACAUUGAAGAUAAUAAUGUAUAUAAUUAAUACCUAGUUAUGUUAUAUUACUAUAAGUUUCAGUCGGAUGAAAUUUAAUUAUUAGGAUAUAACACCCUUUAUUUUAAAGGUUACAUAAUAUUCAUUAUAUAUUAUAAAGAAUAAUAUAUAUAAUAUUAAUAUAGGAAAAUUAAUUUAAGAGAGAUAAGGGAGAAUCAAUUACCACGAAGAAUAAGAAUAGCCCUAGCAAAUCCUUAAGGGGAUGUAGCUAGGGCGUAUAAUUAGGUAGGUAUGUAUACCAUAUAAUACCCACUCCUCAUUUUA